GACAUACUGCCUGCACACUCCAUCAGAAUCUCAGCAGUCUCAUUGCUGAAGAUGACCAACACAGAUGCCAGAUGAAGAGUCACAGAGACAGACUUGCCGAGGGGAGCAAGCUGGCCAAGUACCUUGCCCUCAGACUUAGGCCAGAUAAUCUAGAUGAUGAGGAUGAGGAUGAUGAAAUGACCCUGGAUUCCAGUAGCAGCACUUUAUGUGCAGAGGAAGAAAAUGAACUUUGGCCAGAUUCACUAGAUGAAAACUAUUUGUUCCCUUCCUGUCA
Molecule: long non-coding RNA, 274 nt
Organism: Octodon degus (degu)
Lineage: Eukaryota; Metazoa; Chordata; Mammalia; Rodentia; Octodontidae
Exons: 3
Source: RefSeq, a predicted model, not a curated record